RNA transcript from Quercus robur (English oak), 3415 nucleotides. It is a transcript of the gene named coatomer subunit beta'-2-like, with no coding region annotated. The record is from RefSeq and is a predicted model, not a curated record. NCBI's taxonomy places the organism in Eukaryota, Viridiplantae, Streptophyta, Magnoliopsida, Fagales, Fagaceae. The transcript has 26 exons.
UAAUAUUUACACACACACACAAAGCUCCCUCUCUCUCUCACUGAUACAAAAACCAAAACCCCCUUCUCUCUCUCUCUCUCUCUCUUCGAUCUAUAUAUUGUUCCUGGAUUUCGAUCUCUGAUUUUCGUGAUUCAAAUCCAAGCGACUGAAUUUUCCCUGACCUGCGAAAAUGCCUCUCAGGCUCGAAAUCAAGAGAAAGCUUGCUCAAAGAUCAGAGAGAGUGAAGUCCGUGGAUCUGCAUCCAACAGAGCCAUGGCUUCUAGCGAGUUUGUAUUCGGGAACUGUUUGUAUCUGGAACUAUCAAUCUCAGACUAUGGCGAAGUCUUUUGAGGUGACAGAGUUACCAGUUAGGUCAGCCAAGUUUAUAGCACGCAAGCAAUGGGUUGUUGCUGGAGCUGAUGACAUGUUCAUUCGUGUAUACAAUUACAACACAAUGGAUAAGGUAAAAGUAUUUGAAGCACACACGGACUACAUUAGGUGUGUGGCUGUACAUCCUACCCUUCCGUAUGUGCUGUCAUCAUCUGAUGAUAUGCUCAUAAAGCUUUGGGAUUGGGAGAAAGGUUGGGUGUGUACUCAGAUUUUUGAGGGGCAUUCCCAUUAUGUGAUGCAAGUAACGUUUAAUCCAAAAGAUACCAACACAUUUGCCAGUGCAUCGCUUGACCGCACCAUAAAGAUUUGGAAUCUUGGCUCCCCCGAUCCAAAUUUUACAUUGGAUGCCCAUCAGAAAGGUGUUAACUGUGUCGAUUACUUUACUGGUGGUGAUAAGCCAUACCUAAUUACUGGUUCUGAUGAUCACACUGCUAAGGUGUGGGAUUAUCAGACCAAAAGCUGUGUCCAGACUCUGGAAGGCCACACACACAAUGUCUCUGCAGUAUGUUUUCAUCCAGAACUUCCAAUAAUAAUUACUGGUUCUGAAGAUGGGACUGUUCGUAUAUGGCAUUCUACCACUUAUAGGCUUGAGAACACAUUGAAUUAUGGUCUAGAAAGAGUGUGGGCUAUUGGAUACAUGAAAGGCUCACGCCGGGUUGUGAUUGGUUAUGAUGAAGGAACCAUCAUGGUGAAACUUGGUAGAGAAGAACCUGUAGCUAGUAUGGACAACAGCGGAAAAAUCAUUUGGGCUAAGCAUAAUGAAAUUCAAACCGUGAACAUUAAGAGUGUGGUUGCAGAUUUGGAGGUUGCUGAUGGAGAAAGAUUGCCUUUGGCAGUUAAGGAGUUGGGAACAUGUGAUCUUUACCCACAGAGCUUAAAGCACAAUCCCAAUGGGAGGUUUGUUGUUGUUUGUGGAGAUGGUGAAUACAUUAUAUAUACAGCUUUGGCAUGGAGGAAUAGAUCAUUUGGUUCGGCUUUGGAAUUUGCUUGGUCAACAGAAGGAGAAUAUGCUGUUAGAGAAAGCACAUCAAAGAUAAAGAUUUUCAGUAAAACUUUCCAGGAAAAGAGGAGCGUGCGUCCAACCUUUUCAGCUGAGCGCAUAUAUGGGGGAGCUUUAUUGGCAAUGUGCUCAAAUGAUUUUAUUUGUUUUUAUGAUUGGGCUGAAUGCAGGAUGAUUCGGCGAAUUGAUGUUAAUGUGAAAAACCUCCAUUGGGCUGACAGUGGAGAUCUAGUGGCAAUUGCCAGUGAUACGUCAUUCUACAUCCUGAAAUACAAUCGUGAUGUAGUUUCUUCUUAUUUGGAUAGUGGAAGACCUGUAGAUGAACAAGGUGUUGAAGAUGCCUUUGAGCUUCUCCAUGAAGUGAAUGAACGUGUCAGAACUGGUAUAUGGGUUGGGGAUUGUUUCAUUUACAACAAUUCCUCCUGGAGGCUUAAUUACUGUGUUGGUGGUGAGGUAACCACAAUGUUUCAUUUGGAUCGGCCCAUGUAUUUGUUAGGCUAUCUUGCUAGUCAAAGUAGGGUUUAUCUAAUUGACAAAGAAUUCAAUGUUAUGGGGUACACAUUACUUGUUAGCUUGAUUGAGUACAAGACUCUUGUGAUGCGUGGGGAUCUGGAAAGGGCCAGUGAAGUCUUGCCAUCAAUUCCUAAAGAGCAUCAUAAUAGUGUGGCUCGUUUCUUGGAAUCACGUGGAAUGAUAGAGGAUGCUCUUGAAGUAGCUACAGACCCUGAUUACAGAUUUGAGCUAGCCAUACAGCUUGGUAGAUUAGAGGUUGCAAAGGGUAUUGCGUCAGAAGUGCAGAGUGAGUCUAAAUGGAAGCAGUUGGGAGAAUUAGCUAUGUCCAGUGGAAAGUUAGAUAUGGCCGAGGAAUGUUUAAAGCGUGCAAUGGACUUGAGUGGGUUGUUACUGCUCUAUUCUUCUUUAGGUGAUGCUGAGGGGAUAUCACAACUUGCAUCACUUGCUAAAGAGCAGGGGAAGAACAAUGUUGCAUUCCUUUGCUUAUUCAUGUUGGGUAAAUUGGAAGAGUGCCUUGAGCUUUUGUUGGAAAGCAACCGGAUACCUGAGGCGGCCUUGAUGGCACGAUCUUAUCUUCCAAGCAAGGUCUCGGAGAUAGUUGCAAUUUGGAGAAAAGACCUAAAUAAGGUUAAUCCAAAAGCUGCUGAAUCUUUAGCUGAUCCCGAGGAGUAUCCUAAUUUGUUUGAAGAUUGGCAAGUUGCUCUUUCUGUUGAAUCCAAAGUCACAGAGUCAAGGGGUGUUUAUCCUCCUGCAGAAGAAUAUAUAAACCAUGCCGACAGAUCACAUCUUACACUUGUGGAGGCUUUCAGAAACAUGCAAGUAGAUGAUGAGGAACCCCUUGAAAAUGGAGAUGCAGAUCAUGAGAAUGGAGAAGAACAGAAUGCAGAGGAGCUGAAUGCAGAGGAACUGAAUGCAGAGGAACAAAAUGGAGAAGAAGAGAGCCAAGAGGAGGCUGUCGUAGUGGAUGCAGAUUCAACAGAUGGUGCAGUACUCGUUAAUGGUAACGAGGCUGAACAAGAGUGGGGUACGAAUAAUGAAGGAACCCCGUCUGCCUAAAAGCAAUUGGUUGGGCCAGUGUGAAAAUCCAAAUUUUGUCUCCGUGCUUACGCCACAUCAGUAGGUUCCAGCUGUAUGGAUCUCUUAUAUAAAGGUUUCCUGGAGAAGGCUAUCAAGAAAUGAAUGUAGGAACUUGUUUCUGUUAUCAGACGGUGUGGCAUGGUAGUGCAUUGAAUUUUGUCAUUGGGCACAUAGUAUAAAAUGUUUCUUAGCUUCAGUUAAUCGUUUUUUUACUCUCUUUUUUAGCAUAUUCUGAGGUCUUUCCCUCAAAAUUUUUUGUGCCAUUGUGAAUGUAGAAAGAACUGAAGUAAUGAUUACUACUGAGAUUUUAUUUUUUUCUUUUCAUUGUUCAAAUUCUAGAUGUUUUGGGUUCCCUUGUUUGUUGUGGGAAUCCUCUUAUUAUAUACUCAUGUUGAACUGGAAACAUGCGGUACAGGAAAAAUAAUUUCUUAUAUUAUAUGCAAGCUUUUAUCUAAA